GCUCACUGUUCGAUCUGUUGCGUCGUAACCACGCGGUUUUACCCCAAUUGCUCUAAGGAAAUUGCACAUCCGUGCGUGGACCUAUCGGUUUACUACCACGAUUCCUCCCUUAGGCCAACAAUUCCUAGGAAUUGUUACACGCCACUACAACUAUAUCCCCUAUUUCUGUCGGCCGCAUCGGUUCGGACCGCUCGGUUCUGUGGUGAAGUGUAGAAACCCAUCACGCUUGAACGCCUUUUUGUUGUAGGGCAAAUUGACGCUGUUGUACCGCCACAAAGGUCCCAUUUCGUAUCGCUGUCCGUUCGUUUCCCGCUCCAAUAUCGCCAACGCUCUUUCGUCGUCCCUAGGCCGCAACGGCCGCACUGCUUUGUCCGACGCGGAGUUACAAGAGAGGUCGUGAAACGCGCGGCCCGAGAAGGACCGGUUUGAAGGACUCGGCUUUGCACUCGCAACCGAGCAAGGCCCAUAGACAACCCAUCCAAGGCGGGUUUUCGAAGCGACCGGUUCUUUGCAGCUUGCAUCCACGGUCUUGAGGGUUCGCGUUAUGUUGCAGUUGUCUAUGCCUAUGAGGAUGCGGGGCACGGCGUAAGCGUAGGAUUCGAACUGGAGACCUCUCAGAUGAGUAUAGCGUGCAGUCAGUUGUGCUACGUUUACAGAUUGUUCCGGAAGGGCAAGCUCUUUGACCGUGUGUACUUCUGAUAGUUUGUAUAUCGCAUGUGACAUGUUUCUACCCGAUAUGCGCACCGAUAGCCUUACGGAGUCUUGUUCUUCUCUUGUCACGUCUCCCGUCCAUUGUAGACACAACGGGUACGGUGUCCCUGUAACUCCAAGCUCCUGUGCUAGUCCGUGCUCCAUAAACGUGGAAGUAGAGCCGUCAUCUAAAAAGGCGAACGUAUCUAUUCGCCCCCUGGGCCCGUGCAGC
Long non-coding RNA from Anopheles merus, 922 nucleotides. RefSeq lists it as uncharacterized. The transcript has 3 exons. NCBI's taxonomy places the organism in Eukaryota, Metazoa, Arthropoda, Insecta, Diptera, Culicidae. The record is from RefSeq and is a predicted model, not a curated record.